GACGAACGCUGGCGGCGUGCUUAACACAUGCAAGUCGAACGGUAAGGCCCUUCGAGGUACACGAGUGGCGAACGGGUGAGUAACACGUGGGUGAUCUGCCCUGCACUUUGGGAUAAGCCUGGGAAACUGGGUCUAAUACCGGAUAGGACCACGGCCUGCAUGGGUUGUGGUGGAAAGCUUUUGCGGUGUGGGAUGGGCCCGCGGCCUAUCAGCUUGUUGGUGGGGUGAUGGCCUACCAAGGCGACGACGGGUAGCCGGCCUGAGAGGGUGUCCGGCCACACUGGGACUGAGAGACGGCCCAGACUCCUACGGGAGGCAGCAGUGGGGAAUAUUGCACAAUGGGCGCAAGCCUGAUGCAGCGACGCCGCGUGGGGGAUGACGGCCUUCGGGUUGUAAACCUCUUUCACCAGGGACGAAGCGCAAGUGACGGUACCUGGAGAAGAAGCACCGGCCAACUACGUGCCAGCCGCCGCGGUAA
RNAcentral lists this ribosomal RNA (478 nucleotides) under uncultured bacterium. RNAcentral's name for it is "partial 16S ribosomal RNA". It matches the Rfam family "Bacterial small subunit ribosomal RNA", at positions 28 to 523 of the family's 1533-position model. The record is from RNAcentral.